AGGGCCGCGGUAACUUGACCGUGCGAAGGUAGCAUAAUCAGUAGUCUUUUAAUUGGAGGCUGGAAUGAAUGGUCGGAUGAGGGGAGAUCUGUCUUUGUUUUUAAAUUUUGAAUUUAACCUUUAAGUGAAAAGGCUUAAAUUUGUUUGUGGGACGAUAAGACCCUAUAAAACUUUAUAUAGUAUUGCUUUGGUUUGUGAAUUUUGUUUAAUGUUGCUUUGAUAGUCUUAUAUUUCGUUGGGGCGAUGGUAAUAUAAUUUGUAGCUGUUAUUUUUUAUGAAAUAAUUAUUGUUAGGCAAUGAUCCUGUUCUAUAGAUUAUAAGUUUAAGUUACUUUAGGGAUAACAGCGUGAUUUUUUUUGAGAGUUCAUAUCGACAAAAUAAGUUGCGACCUCGAUGUUGAAUUAAAAUUUUAUCUGGGUGCAGCCGCUCAGGUUAUAGGUCUGUUCGACCUUUAAAAUUUU
RNAcentral lists this ribosomal RNA (461 nucleotides) under Manipontonia sp. IH-2016. RNAcentral's name for it is "partial 16S ribosomal RNA". It matches the Rfam family "Bacterial large subunit ribosomal RNA", at positions 1927 to 2597 of the family's 2925-position model. The record is from RNAcentral. Lineage: Eukaryota; Metazoa; Arthropoda; Malacostraca; Decapoda; Palaemonidae.